This 253-nucleotide ribosomal RNA is filed under the name uncultured bacterium. RNAcentral describes it as "partial 16S ribosomal RNA". It matches the Rfam family "Bacterial small subunit ribosomal RNA", at positions 524 to 776 of the family's 1533-position model. The record is from RNAcentral.
UACGUAGGGUGCAAGCGUUAAUCGGAAUUACUGGGCGUAAAGCGUGCGCAGGCGGUUAUGUAAGACAGGUGUGAAAUCCCCGGGCUUAACCUGGGAACUGCAUUUGUGACUGCAUAGCUAGAGUACGGUAGAGGGGGAUGGAAUUCCGCGUGUAGCAGUGAAAUGCGUAGAUAUGCGGAGGAACACCGAUGGCGAAGGCAAUCCCCUGGACCUGUACUGACGCUGAGGCGCGAAGGCGUGGGGAGCGAACGGG